Molecule: long non-coding RNA, 719 nt
Organism: Raphanus sativus (radish)
Lineage: Eukaryota; Viridiplantae; Streptophyta; Magnoliopsida; Brassicales; Brassicaceae
Exons: 3
Source: RefSeq, a predicted model, not a curated record
GUUUUCGUAUGCUUAAUCUUGUGAAGUUUGCUAUUCAACUCAGAAGAGUAUAUUUUUUAUUUUGUAAAACAUAUGUAAGAGACUUCAAAACCAGUUGAUGCUUUAAGUAGUCAAAUUGUAUAAUUUGAUCAAUGCUUGCUAAUCAGCCUAUCAAGUAAACUUGUUUGCUGGCUUGCGAAUAGUCUUUAAUAUGUUGUGUGGCUAUGAGAAAGAGCUAAUGACCUGCAAAGUGCAACAACGCCAAGAAACGCCCUUGAGGGUAUCCAUGGAGUUCAUUGAUGUUGCUGGUGAAGUUUCUGGUCUCAACAUUAUUAUUAGUUGGAACUGCGACUGAAAAGGCAAGUGAUAUGGUUGCUUAUUCUAGUGAGCCGCAACAUGAGAAGAUAAUAAGGUGAUAGGCCCUAGGCAUAUAUCUUACAGUUAUAUGGCACAAAAGGAGCAGAUGACUAGAGAUUAAGAUCCUAUCAUCAGUUAUGGUGGCAUGUACGCACUGACAUUGGCUUAUAUGGAACCAAUAUUUUUGAUUGGUAAGAUACCAAUCUAUUGGUAAGAUACCAAUCUAUUACACGGUUCAUAGCCAAGGACAAUGUAAUCUACGCUUUCAGAUAAAUAAAUAGACAGCAAAUUGAAAUGUAUUUUUAGGUCGACAUUGAUAACGGAGGCUAGUGAGUUCAAAUGUCUAACGUAUUCCAAAAACAAAAAAAACAUGUUAAACUGAA